This is a long non-coding RNA of Drosophila guanche, 569 nucleotides long. RefSeq lists it as uncharacterized. Lineage: Eukaryota; Metazoa; Arthropoda; Insecta; Diptera; Drosophilidae. The record is from RefSeq and is a predicted model, not a curated record. The transcript has 4 exons.
CACGGUUCCGCAAAUGCUGCUAACUAAAACGUUAUGGCAUAAUAUUAUUGCCCAAAAGCUACAGGAUAUCCGCAUUCUCCCUCAGCUUUGCUCGCUUGCGGAUGAAUAAGGGAAAAUCCUUGGCCUUUGCGGACAAUCCAAAGGGACCAGACAUUCCAUAAAUGCAAACAGCGCACGGAAUUCACAGCGGGGAUAGCCCAGCCACGUGGCCAUGGACAUGGCGUCGUCGAAGCGACAAAAAGGCCACGGCCAGCUGCUGCCAAAGAUGGAAUGCACCGAGCAAAGCAACAACAAGAUUAUCGACCGGUGGAAGGAGUAGGGAUAUAAUAUGCAAAAUUUUCUGCAAACUGAAGGAAAUUUCACUCGAUUUUAAUAAGCAACAAGGAAAUGCAUCGAUGGACUCUGCUCUCAAGAGCUCAAGCAGCAGCAGUGGCAACAUCAACAAGUUGCCCCAGUUCCGUGCCACACAGCAGUCAGCGUUGGGCCCUAAGACCUUGCCCAAAAUGCCGGCGUCUAAUUAUAAAACACAAAUCGAAGGAAAAAUGAAAACAAAACACAACACAACACAA